Molecule: small RNA, 672 nt
Filed under: Pan troglodytes (chimpanzee)
Lineage: Eukaryota; Metazoa; Chordata; Mammalia; Primates; Hominidae
Description: processed transcript
Source: RNAcentral
AUACCAGAGAAGAAAGGAAAAGAAGCAAAUACAGGUUUUGGUGGGCCAGUUAUUAGUUCUCUAUAUCAUGAAGAAACCAUCAGGGAAGAAGACAAAAAUAUAUUUGAUUACUGCAGGGAAAACAACAUUGAUCAUAUAACCAAAGCCAUCAAAUCGAAAAAUGUGGAUGUGAAUGUGAAAGAUGAAGAGGGUAGGGCUCUACUUCACUGGGCCUGUGAUCGAGGACAUAAGGAACUAGUCACAGUCUUGCUGCAACAUAGAGCUGACAUUAACUGUCAGGACAAUGAAGGCCAAACAGCUCUACAUUAUGCCUCUGCCUGUGAGUUUCUGGAUAUUGUAGAGCUGCUGCUCCAGUCUGGUGCUGACCCCACUCUCCGAGACCAGGAUGGCUGCCUGCCAGAGGAGGUGACAGGCUGCAAAACAGUUUCUUUGGUGCUGCAGCGGCACACAACUGGCAAGGCUUAAUCAAAAGACUGGAAAACUGCAGUCUGUAAUAGCAUAAGGCUUCCAUUAUGAAAGAAAACUACAAAAAUAAUACUUCUUUUCCGCCCGUCUUUGCUGAGUAGAAUCCUGGGCCCAAGGGGAAAGGACAGGAAAGCAAUGGAACACCGACUGCGGAGCUUCCAUUUGUUCUCCUGAUUUUGCUCAUUUUACAGCCCACAGCCUGUCUUG